UACGUAGGGGGCGAGCGUUGUCCGGAUUUAUUGGGCGUAAAGAGCUCGUAGGCGGCUUGGCAAGUCGGGUGUGAAAACUCCAGGCUCAACCUGGAGACGCCACUCGAUACUGCCAUGGCUAGAGUCCGGUAGGGGACCACGGAAUUCCUGGUGUAGCGGUGAAAUGCGCAGAUAUCAGGAGGAACACCGGUGGCGAAGGCGGUGGUCUGGGCCGGCACUGACGCUGAGGAGCGAAAGCGUGGGGAGCAAACAGG
RNAcentral lists this ribosomal RNA (254 nucleotides) under uncultured bacterium. Its description in RNAcentral is "partial 16S ribosomal RNA". It matches the Rfam family "Bacterial small subunit ribosomal RNA", at positions 524 to 776 of the family's 1533-position model. The record is from RNAcentral.